Molecule: non-coding RNA, 426 nt
Organism: Phoenix dactylifera (date palm)
Lineage: Eukaryota; Viridiplantae; Streptophyta; Magnoliopsida; Arecales; Arecaceae
Source: RefSeq, a predicted model, not a curated record
UUUGUUCGAUUUUGGAUUGAAAACCACGGCCUUGAAUGGAGUUCGCCCGCGUUUGACCGAGCUCCAUCCUGGACGGUUUCUACCACCGUCGUGGCCUAUGCUCCGCUGUGAGCCAGAGAACUAGCUUGACUUGGGGAUUUGCUAUGAGAGAGUGACUAGAGAUUCAAAGAACUAACUUGACUCGGGAUUUGUUAUGGGAGAGUGACUAGAGGCAAAAAUUUUACAUUUUUAUUCUAGAUUAGGAUUGUUAUUAAAGUUUGAUGCAAGAUUUUAAAAAAUUGUUGGUUUUGUGGGAUAUUAAAUUUUGAUUAGUUAUUUAAAUUAAAAUUUGAAUAUUAGUAAUUUAUUUUUUUCGUUGUUUGUGGAUAAUAUUAUGACGAAAUACCUUUCAUACUUAUAGAAAGAGUUUUUAAUGACUAUAUGGUA